UAAAAUCAUCCAAAUAAUUAGUGACCAGCAUCAUUUGCGAUCAACACCUCACCAUCGUACCGCACACAACACCGUCAUCAGCCACCACGAAUUCCAGAGCCAUCCACCACCUUAUGACAAUCGAUCAACACCAUUGCAUAUUGCUAGAGCCAGCACCACACCGUCAACACCACAUCACAUAGCACAUUGCACUCAAGCACAGCAUCGUACGACCAUCGCAUACAGCACUACAAUUGCACACCACAAUCACGUCGCACAACACAUCUCAACCACCAUUGCACUCACAAAACCAACACACCAUCACCAUCACCUCACCAUAGUACCACAACCAAACAGUCAAUCACCGCACCACUCAAAAAUUGAAAAAGAAAAAAAAAAGAAAAAAAAAAGAAGAAGAAUGAAUUUAUGUCGUGCGUUGAAGGAAAGCCAUCACUGCUGCACCGUGAUGAGUCAUCGUAGUGAGUGUCCCUAUGCAGUGACGACUACUAUGGUCUCUUGCUUUGGUCUUCGACGAUAGUCUUUCAUGUGUUAAAGAGAGAGAAGGGGUCGAUGCUGUAGCGUCGAUGGUGACGGUGCUCUAGUGGUGGUGUGUGGUAAUGAGACGGAGGGAGGGAGGGAAACGGAAAAAUAUUAGGGUUUGGGAGAGAUAUUUGAUGGGGUGGAUGGAAGUGGGGUGAGUACAUAGAUCAAUUAAAUAUUAUAAUAUUAUUAAUUAUUAAUAUUAAAAUGUGAUUUUUGUAU
Molecule: long non-coding RNA, 741 nt
Filed under: Olea europaea subsp. europaea
Lineage: Eukaryota; Viridiplantae; Streptophyta; Magnoliopsida; Lamiales; Oleaceae
Source: RNAcentral